RNAcentral lists this ribosomal RNA (424 nucleotides) under Setanida cristata. RNAcentral describes it as "partial large subunit ribosomal RNA". The stretch from base 308 to 424 matches the Rfam family "Bacterial large subunit ribosomal RNA", at positions 2473 to 2589 of the family's 2925-position model. Lineage: Eukaryota; Metazoa; Arthropoda; Malacostraca; Decapoda; Munididae. The record is from RNAcentral.
UCAUUAGUCUUUUAAUUGGGGGCUUGUAUGAAGGGUUGGACAAAGGAAAAACUGUCUUUAAUUUAAGGUUUGAAUUUAACUUUUAAGUGAAAAGGCUUAAUUGUGUUUAAGGGACGAUAAGACCCUAUAAAUUUUUAUAUUAAAUUAGUUUACUUGUAAAGUAAUUUUGUGCUUGGUUUAAAUUAAAUUAAAAAAUAUUUUAUUGGGGUGAUAAGAAUAUUUAAUUAACUGUUCUUAAUUUUAUACAAAUUUGUUUGUUUAUGUUAAUAGAUCCUUUUUAAAGAGUGAAAGGUUAAGUUACUUUAGGGAUAACAGCGUUAUUUUUUUUGAGAGUUCUUAUCGAAAAAAUAGUUUGCGACCUCGAUGUUGAAUUAAAAUUUCUUUGUGGUGUAGCAGCUAUGGGAAGAGAGUCUGUUCGACUUUU